CUUCUUGCAUUGUGUUCAAAGCAAUUCAGCCAAGCAUAAGUGCCUAUGUCUUGUUUGCAGCUUAAUUUGGUUGCAAACUAGAGUAAAAGACUGUGGAUAUUCUGAUUAUUUUUAAAUUUCAUCACCAAUGAAACAAGUUCUAACACUUUUCUUUUGUUUUCUAUGAAUCAGGGGUUUUUGAGAAAACCAGCAACUACUACAGAACAUCUGCACCUGAGUUGAAAGAGAAAAGAGCAAAGCCAUUGGAAGAGUGGAUGAACAUAGAAAGCAGUUUUGAUAUGAGGAAUACAUUGACUACAUGUUCCCAGAGGAAACUCAGACGACUAAUCUUAGAAUAUUGGAAGCUGCACAUAAGUGGAAGAAGCAAAAGAUUUCUGAUAAAGACUAGCAUGGUAACGUGCUUUUGUAGAAUUGAAGCUUUUGGUGUAAAUACAUUAUUGCUUUUUUAAUGUUAAUUGGGUGAAAAUGAAGUAGCCUUGACAGCUAGUAGGGCAAUAAGUUUUGCUAGAGAACUUUGCAUUUCUAAGGUAGAGUUCGAAGGAGAUAGUCAGAGAGUUGUCACAGCUAUCAACAACCAGGCGCCAUCAAAAACCAUGGUUUGGUCAUGUUAUUGAAGAGAUUUAGAUGUUGUAAGAGAUUUUUCAUAAAUAUAGCUUCAAACAUGUAAAAAGAGAGGGCAACCAGCUUGCUCAUUCCCUUGCUAGAACAUUGAUGGGCAUUUUUUUUCUUCUUCUUUC
Quercus lobata is the source of this 737-nucleotide long non-coding RNA. RefSeq lists it as uncharacterized. NCBI's taxonomy places the organism in Eukaryota, Viridiplantae, Streptophyta, Magnoliopsida, Fagales, Fagaceae. The transcript is spliced from 2 exons. The record is from RefSeq and is a predicted model, not a curated record.